AUGUAUAUAUAUAUAUAUAUAUAUAUAUAUAUAUAUAUAUAUAUAUAUACACAAUUUCUCCUAAUUGGUGCCUUCGGAGCCAGUGGCAUUAGUCUAAUUGGUGCCUUCGGAGCACGAUAA
This 120-nucleotide ribosomal RNA is filed under the name Triticum aestivum (bread wheat). RNAcentral describes it as "partial small subunit ribosomal RNA". Lineage: Eukaryota; Viridiplantae; Streptophyta; Magnoliopsida; Poales; Poaceae. The record is from RNAcentral.